Molecule: ribosomal RNA, 396 nt
Filed under: uncultured bacterium
Lineage: Bacteria
Description: partial 16S ribosomal RNA
Rfam family: Bacterial small subunit ribosomal RNA
Source: RNAcentral
AUACGUAGGUGACAAGCGUUAUCCGGAUUUACUGGGCGUAAAGCGCACGCAGGCGGUUUGUUAAGUCAGAUGUGAAAUCCCCGGGCUCAACCUGGGAACUGCCUCUGAUACUGGCAAGCUUGAGUCUCGUAGAGGGGGGUAGAAUUCCAGGUGUAGCGGUGAAAUGCGUAGAGAUCUGGAGGAAUACCGGAGGCGAAGGCGGCCCCCUGGACGAAGACUGACGCUCAGGUGCGAAAGCCUGGGGAGCAAACAGGAUUAGAUACCCUGGUAGUCCACGCCGUAAACGAUGUCGACUUGGAGGUUGUGCCCUUGAGGCGUGGCUUCCGGAGCUAACGCGUUAAGUCGACCGCCUGGGGAGUACGGCCGCAAGGUUAAAACUCAAAUGAAUUGACGGGG